UACCGGCAGCCCAAGUGAUGGCCGAUCUUAUUGGGCCUAAAGCGUCCGUAGCUGGCCGCGCAAGUCCAUCGGGAAAUCCACCUGCUCAACAGGUGGGCGCCCGGUAGAAACUGCGUGGCUUGGGACCGGAAGGCGCGACGGGUACGUCCGGGGUAGGAGUGAAAUCCCGUAAUCCUGGACGGACCGCCGAUGGCGAAAGCACGUCGCGAGAACGGAUCCGACAGUGAGGGACGAAAGCCAGGGUCUCGAA
Molecule: ribosomal RNA, 250 nt
Filed under: uncultured archaeon
Lineage: Archaea
Description: partial 16S ribosomal RNA
Rfam family: Archaeal small subunit ribosomal RNA
Source: RNAcentral